This 1526-nucleotide long non-coding RNA is filed under the name Homo sapiens (human). RNAcentral's name for it is "HSALNT0316133". The record is from RNAcentral. Lineage: Eukaryota; Metazoa; Chordata; Mammalia; Primates; Hominidae.
CUCUGACACUUUAUUCCAUGUUGCCUAAUAGUUUUAAAAGCCCCUAUUUUAUAGUCAGUGCAUCUUUCUGUGGGUCCCCAGAGAAGGGAAGACUGUGAGACAUUGAACUUCACUUCCUCCUUGGAAGCUAGAUUUGGCCAUGUGAUUAGCUACAGUUAAUGUUUGUAAGUGGAAGCCUUAAAAGUUGAUGUGCAAUUUGCUACACUCCCUUCCCACUGCCAAAUGUUGGUGAAAACGUGUCAAGAUGAUGCCUCUGCCAGCUUGAGUCUUCAUACCCUUCUUCUGACUUGCUUUGGACAUGUAGUAUCAUGGAGAACUAGGAUUUCAAACUGGAUCAUUUUGAGGGUAAAAGGGACAACAGGCACAAUUUGACAAUGUAUGUUCAUCCUAGUGAAACUUGUAAUGUUAAGCCACUGAGACCUGGGGGUUGUUUUUUUACCGCAGCGUAACCUAGCCUAUCUUGAUUGAUAUAUAAAUGCAUGUAUAGAAAUGCUCAAUAACUCAUUCAUAGAAGUGCAACAAAUGACUCAUGUUGCACUAUAACUGUGUGAGGUUGGUAAGAAAAUGGAUUCUAACAUCUAGGCCUAAGGUGAGUCAGCUACAUGGACACUGACAAGUGAGUAACCUGCUGGGAUCAAGAGCUCUUGGCUUCCAAGUGAAGGCUCUUUUUCAGAUCUUUCCAAGGAAAUGUUACCAAGGAGCUACAUUCAGGACAAAAGCUGCUGACAUGAGAAAAGGGUUAGUAUAGCCCAGAAAGACUAGCCUCGGUCUUGUCUGUAUGACCGUAUAUGCUUAAGAGUAUGGCACCAAGUUUUUACCGUGGAGGAGCCUGAGCCAACCUACAGAAUGUUUGAUUUGACCAGCAGAGUAUUGUAGACAAAACAUGAAUUUGCAGCCCUUUCAGUUGAGGAAGCACUCUCAGCUUUGCCACUGCCCUUUGUUUCUUUCUGUCAUUUGAUCCUGCUCUUUUCCACUUCUUCACCUCAGUUGUAUUACCUGCCUGGCUUUUGAAGACAUUUGAGUUUGGACCUCUGCAGGGAACCAUUGUACCUGAGAUGGAAAGCACAGCAGCCCGCAUGGACAGAAACAGGGCACUUCACCUCUGCAGUGUUCCUUCCAUAACCCCAGUCUAAUCAUAAGCAAAAUAAUCAGACAAACCCAGAUUAGGAGACAUCCUACAGGAUACCUGGACAGCAUUCCUAAAGCCUGUCAGGGUCACAAAAAACAAGGAAAGACUGAAGACUGUCAUAGGCCAGAAGCAAAUGGAGAGACAUGGCAACUAAAUGCAAUGUAGUGUCCUGGAUCAGAUACUAGAAUAGUAAGUAACAGGUCAUCAAUAGGAACACUGGUGAAGUCUGAAGAAUGUCUGGAAUUUAGAUAACAGUUACGUACCAAUAAUGGGCUCUUAGUUUUGACAAAUGUACCAUGGUAAUGUAAGACAUUAACAAUGGGAGAAACUGGGUGAGGGGUAUACAGGAAUUCUCUUUGCUUAUAUGUGUGACUUUUCUGUAAAUCUAAAAUUAUUC